ACGGGAGGCAGCAGUGAGGAAUAUUGGUCAAUGGGCGAAAGCCUGAACUAGCCAAGUCGCGUGAAGGAUGAAGGUAUUAUGUAUUGUAAACUUCUUUAGCAGCAGAGUAAUAAGGGGGUCGUGACCUCCGAUGCAAGUAUGCUGAAAAUAAGGAUCGGCUAACUCCGUGCCAGCAGCCGCGGUAAUACGGAGGAUCCGAGCGUUAUCCGGAUUUAUUGGGUUUAAAGGGUGCGCAGGCGGUUUUUUAAGUCAGUGGUUAAAUCGUGAGGCUCAACCUCAUCACGCCAUUGAUACUGGAAGACUUGAUUGCGGUUGAGGUAGGCGGAAUUCGUCGUGUAGCGGUGAAAUGCAUAGAUAUCAUGAAGAACUCCGAUUGCGAAGGCAGCUGUCCGGGGUGUAACUGACGCUAAUGCUCGAAAGUGCGGGUAUCAAACAGGAUUAGAUACCCUGGUA
RNAcentral lists this ribosomal RNA (453 nucleotides) under uncultured Bacteroides sp. RNAcentral describes it as "partial 16S ribosomal RNA". It matches the Rfam family "Bacterial small subunit ribosomal RNA", at positions 341 to 792 of the family's 1533-position model. Lineage: Bacteria; Pseudomonadati; Bacteroidota; Bacteroidia; Bacteroidales; Bacteroidaceae. The record is from RNAcentral.